UGCCAUGUCCCCUUUUCCAACUUUCAGCGCAGAACUUCUGAAGGAGUGAAACGGUGGGGAACAGCACAUGGUAAAUCCCAGCCUGCCUCCUCACCUCCACUAAAAAAUUGCCUUAUCCAAACUGCCACUCCACCGCUCCCUGACGAAGUAGGAAAGCUGCACUUGUAACACUGGAAGAUGCCAGCGUAAAUUGCAGAAGAAAUAGAAAUACAAAGAAAUUUUGCGUGAAAGCAUCUUGUGAAGCAUUUUUCAUCAAAACCGCUUUCAAAAAGCACAAGACUGAUUCUUUACUCCCAUUAUGAUUUGGACAACAUGAUCAAACAAACACCUUCACACUCUCACCAUCUCUGCUUAAAGACAAUGUGUGAACG
Molecule: long non-coding RNA, 371 nt
Organism: Poecilia latipinna (sailfin molly)
Lineage: Eukaryota; Metazoa; Chordata; Actinopteri; Cyprinodontiformes; Poeciliidae
Exons: 5
Source: RefSeq, a predicted model, not a curated record